GACGAACGCUGGCGGUGUGCUUAACACAUGCAAGUCGAACGGUAAGGCCCUUUCGGGGGUCCACGAGUGGCGAACGGGUGAGUAACACGUGAGUAACCUGCCCUCAUCUCUGGGAUAACAGUCGGAAACGGUUGCUAAUACUGGAUAUGAGCUUGCAAGGCAUCUUGUGGGUUGGAAAGAUUUUUUUUGGUUGGGGAUGGACUCGCGGCCUAUCAGCUUGUUGGUGAGGUAGUGGCUCACCAAGGCUUCGACGGGUAGCCGGCCUGAGAGGGCGACGGGCCACAUUGGGACUGAGAUACGGCCCAAACUCCUACGGGAGGCAGCAGUGGGGAAUAUUGCACAAUGGACGGAAGUCUGAUGCAGCAACGCCGCGUGCGGGAUGACGGCCUUCGGGUUGUAAACCGCUUUCAAUUGUGACGAAGCGUUUUUGUGACGGUAGCAGUAGAAGAAGCACCGGCUAACUACGUG
RNAcentral lists this ribosomal RNA (468 nucleotides) under uncultured bacterium. Its description in RNAcentral is "partial 16S ribosomal RNA". It matches the Rfam family "Bacterial small subunit ribosomal RNA", at positions 28 to 507 of the family's 1533-position model. The record is from RNAcentral.